GGGUUUAGUUAUUCUGGAGGAUGGAUUCAGGGGAUGUGUCUCUUCCAAGGAGGAGGACUAGACAGCAAUUCUUGAAAUAUUGGGUUGAGUUAAUUGAGAAAAGGAAUAGUUUGGGUCGAACUGGUAAUCCUACUCAGUCUUCGACUUGUUCGGUGAAUAUUGUAGAGGAUGUGAGUUGUGGGAGGAAAAGAGAUAGGGUGGAGGAGAACACAGAUUCUGCAGAUGGCAAGAGAAAAAUGGAAAAAUCAGAAGAUGGAAGUAUGGUAAAGGUGGACAAUGGGAGGAGUAACUUCAGCCCAGGAACUUGUGAGUCCAUUACGAAACCGCCUUUCAUCCACGAAAUAUCUGAUGAUGAUGGGGAGGAGGAGGGGAAGGAGAAUGAUGUUUUAAUUGGGGAGGCUGCUGCAGGCUCUGCUGUAAAUACUGGAUCAUGUUCAGUAUCUUGGUCCAAUGUGGGCUCUGUUGGGUUAAAGAGUCCUAUGUUGAAUGUAGCAGAUGAGGUUGUUUCAUCCACCUCAAGCAUGUGUUGGACCGCAGAUAAAUCAGAAGAGGUUGUUGUUCCAAUUGCAUCUUCUGAGUCAGAAUCUGAAGCUUCAAGUGAUGAGGAUAAUGAUGACUCCGAAGAUGAGAAUUACCAGGUGAAAGAAUCAUCAAGUUCUAGUGAAUCUGAUGAUGUAAGAAGUGAUAAAUCGAAAGAUGAUGAGGAAUCAAAAGAUGGUGAUACAUUGAAAGAUGAUGAUCUGAGUUGUCCAACAGAGCAAGAACACCAUGAAGAACGAAACAAGGAGUCAAAUGGUGGGGAGCUAGUACCUCAGCUUGCUGUUAAGGGUGAAAAGAACAACAAAGGCCGAUCUUAUCUUCUUCGGCCGCGCUCACUUCCUAAGUCCAAAAAGAAGAAGUUAAACCAUGGAAAUUGUAGCAGCCCGAUUCUUCUUAGUGAAUCCUCAUCUGAGGAGGACUGUGAUGUUGAUGAGUCGGUGCAAAAUGUCGUUCAAAAGGAUGCUGUUCGAAAGGUUAGAAAGACUCGGAAGAAGAUUCUUAAAGAUUCUGAAUUUCUGAAGUUUGUCGUUGAUUCUAUAAUAAAUGUUGAUGAUCAUGAUAAACUAACUCCUCCUGAAGAGAAAGAACAAAAGGAACAGGAUCCUGUCAAAGAAGCACUUCCUUUAAUAUUCCGGUUUGAAGACGAGGAACCUCUCCCGCCAGAGAAAGAAGAAUGGGAAAAGGGAGUUGAUGAUCUUUUUGUUGAAAUGGACAUGUGUAUCUUAGAAUCACGUAUUGGCUUUACAAAUCCAUCUGAUUCACCUAUACAAAGUGAAAAAAUAAGUGGCUGUCAGAUGGGGAACCACCAGCUUGUUCUAGAUGAACAAAUUGGACUCAUCUGUAAAGUUUGUUCCCAUGUGCAUUUGGAGAGCAAGUACAUCUUCCCUCCAUUUGCUGAGAGAACCCGAGGGAGACAUGAAAGAAAAUAUUUUGGAGAGUCGCCAUCCCUCUUGGAUGUUGAUGGCUUCAAAUUUUAUGAUUCUUCUGCCGUUCAUGAUGCUGCUAUUUAUGGGGAAGGAACUGUGUGGGAUUUAGUUCCCCUUAGUGCCAAAACAACAAUGUAUCCUCAUCAGCGUGAAGGAUUUGAGUUCAUGUGGAGAAAUAUUGUUGGAGAUAUGUAUCUUGAGAAGCUGAAAGAGCCUAUAUCUGGUAAUAGGGGAGGAUGCAUAAUCUCACAUCCACCUGGCACAGGAAAAACCCGUCUCACUAUAGUUUUUCUUCAGGCAUUUUUGAAGCAGUUUCCAAAGUGUCGGCCUGUAAUCAUAGCUCCAUCCAAUUUGCUUCUUAACUGGGAAGCCGAGUUCCAAAAGUGGGAGGUCGACAUUCCCUUCCACAACUUGAACAGCAAAGAUUUCUCUUUCCAGGAAGAUGAAGCCACUGUUAGUGUCUUCCACUGUUUAUCCCGUGCCGGAAAAAACAAUCCACACCUUAUACGUAUGGUGAAGCUGAGAUCCUGGGCUAAAAGUAAGAGUGUUUUGGGAAUCAGCUAUGACUUGUUUAGGAUUCUCACGGGAGAAGAUGGAGACAGUUAUGCCACAGAGAUUAGAGAAAUACUUCUAAAGUUACCUGGUCUUCUGGUCCUUGAAGAAGGGCACACUGCUCGGAACGAUCAAAGCCUUGUGUGGAAAGCUUUGAAUAAAAUUGAAACAGAGAAGCGCAUUCUUUUGUCUGGAACUCCGUUCCAGAAUAACAUCAAAGAGUUGUACAACACCCUAUGCGUAGUUAGUCCAAAAUUUGCUGCAGAUUUGGAGCAUAAAUGGGCUUAUCUUAGCAGUUCCAUUGACAAGAAUGUCCGAGCAUUGGAAGAGCUUAGGGAUAUGAUUGCACCACUAGUCCAUAAAUGUAGUGAAAAUGUGAAGAAGGUAAGCCUUCCGGGUAUAAGGGAUAUUGUGAUACAUUUGAAGCCCACACAUUUGCAGAAGGAGUUGCUUAAAAGAAUUCCAGAGAAUCCAGGCUCCUUUUACGAACAAAAUAUGGUGUCUCUAAUCUCUGUUCAUCCUUCAUUAGUGGCAACGAGGAAGGAGUUCGUUGACUUAGAAAGUCAGCUAAAAGAAAGAGGAUGUCGGUUGGAUCCAGAUAAUGGAGUAAAAAUGAAAUUUGUUGUUGAACUAAUCAGACUCUGUGGUGGAUUGAAGGAGAGGGUUAUAAUAUUUAGCCAGUUACUUGAUCCUCUAAACUUGAUCAAGGAGCAACUCAAUUCUCUUUUUGGCUGGACUUUAGGCCGAGAGAUCCUCUAUAUGGAUGGAAAACUUGAUGUAAAGCAGCGGCAGAUAUCAAUAAAUUCUCUUAAUGACCCUAAGAGUGAUGUAAAAGUGCUUCUUGCAUCAAUAAAAGCCUGUUCAGAAGGAAUAAGUCUUAUAGGGGCCUCAAGAGUGGUUUUGCUUGACGUUCUCUGGAAUCCCUCAGUAGAACAGCAAGCCAUCAGUCGAGCCUACAGAAAUGGUCAGACUAAAUUUGUUCAUGUUUACUGUCCAGUGUCAUCAAAAUGGGAGGUGGACAAGAUCGAACAGCAGACAAAAAAAAAAUAUCAUUCAGAUGUUAUUAUGUCUAGGAAUAAAGUGAAUACUUUCAAGAUGGAUCCUUCAUGUUCUGUGUCAGAGGAUACCGUACUAGAAUCCAUGGUUAAGCAUGAGUGCCUCCGUCAUAUUUUUGAAAAACUAUCUCAUGCACCACGUGUGGUGCCUCCUACUACAUGCUUUAAUUCUCGUAACCAACCUUCAAAACUGAGCUGUUAGAUCGGUUGGAGCUUUUUUUGGGUUGUGAAGGACACUUGUUAGGACUUACAGCGGAGCCUAGAAGAAUUUUUGCAGUCAUCCUUUUAUGAGGUGCUUCAUGACAGAUUCACGCCUGGUUAAUGAAGAAUGCUGAUAGGAGUUUUCAUCACCCACAGGAUGUUCUUGUAACAUUGUUUUGCCAGACAUUUUUUUGUUUCAGAACUGUGAAAAAUCUCAGGCUCUUCCAUCUGUGUAGCAUAUUCCUCAACACAAUUGUAUUUUGGCUUAAGUCUCUUGGUAU
RNA transcript from Solanum verrucosum, 3555 nucleotides. It is a transcript of the gene named SNF2 domain-containing protein CLASSY 4-like, with no coding region annotated. The transcript is spliced from 4 exons. The record is from RefSeq and is a predicted model, not a curated record. NCBI's taxonomy places the organism in Eukaryota, Viridiplantae, Streptophyta, Magnoliopsida, Solanales, Solanaceae.